CGUGCGACUCUUGUGUGCGUUUUGCUCUCUCUCUUUGGAGCGUGACGGUUAUGGUUCGGCAUACAGUCGAAAACCAACGACCCCAAAAGAGAGGAGCUCGGCUGCGUUGAUAUACACGCCUACCCAGCCGAACGCAGCGGGCAACGAAAAGCGGAAAGCCAACAGACAAACAAAAAAAAUUGAAGGAAAGAGCUGAGAGAAGUGCGGCGGCUUUCAACCUCGCGAACGGAAAAGGCAACCAAGAAGAGACACAUUGCCGUGAAAGCAGCGCGUGCGGCGGCACCGUUUCCCAUCAAGCCCCUUUACUUCAUCCUCUACUCGUACUCAUCGCCUUCCCCUUCUGCCUCUCCCACUCUCUCUCCCUGUGCGCCUUGCACACGUAGUUGUUUGGGUUCUCUUAUGUUUUUUUUUCUUUUUCGGCUGUUUUCACUUGCGCCGUCUUUUAUGGUCGCUCAUUGCAACUUUUCCCUCCUCUGCUUAUUUUCCAUUUUAUGUUUUCCCCCUUUUCUCUGGGCCCCUCUCGUUCUCGCGCUUCGAGCGAUAGCACGGCUCUUUGGCGCGCCGCGUAAACAUUGUUUUUUUUUUCCGUUUCUUCACUGCCUGUAUAUAUAUAGGGUUUGCACAGAAGCGCACGCCUUCUCGGUGGCGUGAAGACGGCGGCAACUCCACAUCAUUUCGGAUACGCAUCGACGGAAACGUCUCGGUGGCAAUUCUGUUCUUGGUUCUGCGCUUUCUUCCUCGCGCGUCGCCGCCACGCAUUGCUUUCGUUUCGAUCUCCACCCCCUUCUAUCGGUACACUGGAGAAAGACGUGCAACUCUGAUCACCUACAUCACUCUUGUGAUCGCCGACACAUGCGAAGCCAGUUGAUGUAAGGCAGCGAACCAUCUCACCGGAAGUUGUACGAAGUAGACGUCCAGACACGCCACUGGAGACAGCAGAUAGCAGAACGCAACAGUUGAGUGGGCUCCAUCGCUGACGAACUCAGUUCCUCGCGUUUGUUUUUUCCAUCCCUUUCACCCCCAGCGCUGCGCUGCCAGGUCGCUCUUACUUUGGCUGAUCGUAAGAGGCCUCAUCCGUGUCUUCUUUUGUUGUUGUUCUUCGUCGCUGGCGCUCCCGAGGUUGUCUUUAGUCGUUGGUAACGCGCCUUUUUCCCUUUCUUUCGCCGUGUCGUCCUCUUGCGCGUGUAUAUCGUCUGCUCAUCGUCUCUUCCUCUCGUCCGCGCUCUUUGUUUUCUGCCGCCUCAGCGAUCUUAUUGGGUGUUGUUGGCGCUCGCACGUGCGUGUAUGUUCUGUGUUCGGGAGGAGAAGGUGACCUUCUUCUACUGGUCACGCUUUUCCUUUUCCUGGUGUUGCCUCUUCGUUCACCCACUUCUCCAUCACAUAGCGCCCACCACCACCACUACCACCACUCACCUUUCUUUCUCUUCCUCUCUCGCUCUGGUUCUCUGCGUGUGUGUGCUGUCGUUUCGUUGUACCUGGCAUUUUCGACGGAUUUCGUGCUUCGCGCCUCGCUGCUUAGAUUCCCAGCCUCUCCUCGCCCCGCCCUCCUCUCCUCACAACGGUGUAUGUCCCACAGCUUGUAGCGGAGUGAGCCAUUUUGCCAGCGGACGCUCCCUUUUCACAAAGAGCCCCCUCUUUUUUUUUUGUUAGUGUGUGCGUCCUUUGGCGCACCCUUUCCCGACCUUUCUGCGGCGGCACGUGCACUCGCGCAUCUUCUGUAUCGAGGGAUUGUCGAGUGCGUGCCGCCUCUUACGUAGCUUUCUGGUUCGUCGUUUUUGUCUUGGCCGAGAUGGACGGCGGCACCCCUGCUGCCCUGCGGACAAGAAAGCACUCUGGCACGUUGCGGGGCAUGCGAUGCGCACAGGACACUGCGUUGAAGGACACCCGCAGCACCGAGGGUAGCCCGGAACCUCUUUGUAGCAAGGCCAGCAGCCCUCGUGGCAACCCGCGGCAGGCAUUGAGUACCACACGCAGUGUAUCUUCGAGUGCCGCUGCAGACAACAGUGGCAGCGCUGCGAUCUCACCGGCAGCGCACUCCCUCGCCAGCACUCUGCAUGACUCGGGCCAGGGAAGUCCGUCUCCGGGCCCGCUGGUGGUCGCGUCGUCCUCGUCAGGUACCGGACAGCGGCGCAGUGGCCACGACGGGCACGGAAGGGUUACAUCAUCCUCCAUCUCGAAAUCGGCGUCUUUGCCGUCGCUUUUGGCUACAUCGUCAUCCGGGCCAACGCUGGGCGAGGACCGGCAGUGGAGCAACAGCGCCGGAGCCGCCGCAGCACCGGCGCGCAAGCAGCCGCGGAGUGUAGCGCAACUGCCCGCACCGCCGGCGCAGGCCGAUCUGGCAGAGAACACAAAGCCGCCUCAAUACAUUCGAAAGAAGCCUCCAGUAAGGAAAAGCGGCACCUCAGAGAGCACUUCGCCUGACUCCACGGCUCUGUCCGAGAACUUCACCGCGUCUACGCCUUUUGCUCAGCUUUUGAAUCCGAAGUCUCAGGGUAGUCCUGGUCUUCCGCGGCGAGGGGCAGAUCCAAAGCGAUUACCCUCUGCUAAAUCUUCUGAUUCGGCAUCGCCGUCGCUGCCCACAUCACCUCCACAACCUGCUGAAGCAGCCCGCAGAGCCUCUCGCCAAGAUGGGGUGCCGCCGGAAGCUGACGCCAGCGACGCAGGACCGCCACCUGCAACCUCCAUGGCGCUCGUGAAGACGAAGCUGGCUGCAGCGCCACAGCCGAGUCGCACGCCAACGCCGGGGUCUUCUCCCAAGGAGUGGACCCCACCAACACACACGCACGAAAGCCCGGAGCACUUGUCCACGGACGAGCCAGAUGUGCUGGUGCCGGCGCACAAGUACGUUUACGAUGUGAAGACGUGUGCGUGGAAGGGGGUGGACACGAUGCUUCGCGUGCUACACCCGAAUCGCGGUUUGAGCCAGGGAACGAUGCGGGUGUGCUUUGCGUUGGAGGAGUUGGACGAGACCGGGUUCAGCUCGCGAAUGGUGGCGAAGAUGUUUCGCCAUAAUAUUUCAAAGGUGGUGGAGAGCGACUACUUCAACGAAGGCGAGGCGCAGUGCAUCUGCGGCAUUUUCGCAGAGAAGUUCAACCGGGUGCAAGUGCCGGCGGGAUUUCAGCGGCACGUCGUCUCGUUCCUGCAGUGCGAGACGGUGCGCAUCAAGCUGAGCGAGGUGCCGGAGGCGUACCAGCACAAACGAUCGGGCUUCUUCUCAUACCGCACAACUGACUCUGCCGACAUCCUCUUCACAAUGGAGCCGCGCCUAGCAGGGAACUUCACCAAGUACACAAACAACUUUGGUGACGUGUACGAUGGCUUUGAGAGGCGGCAGAGUUUGGAGGAGGAGAAGAAGCGGCAUCGCGUACUCAUGGCGGUAGAGGCCUUCUCGCAUUUUACCCUGGUGGAAAGUGGCGGCUCGAUGCUCGUGUGCGAUCUGCAAGGCGUUAAUGACUUCCUUACCGACCCGCAAAUUCACACGGAGGACGGCAAGGGACUUGGCAUGGGCAACAUGGGGCAGGAUGGUAUCCGAAAGUGGAUGGAGGCUCACGUGUGCAACGAGGUGUGCAGAGCAAUAAUGCUCGAACCGCUUUCCAAAGGCCUGAGAAACUUCACGCGAACGGCGGAGAAUGAGAGUCGCGUAAGCUACUAUCAGAUUCUCCGAGCCAAGCUGCGCAGCCAGACCCCGGUGCGCCCCGAGGACAUCAUUCCGCUGUCAAAGCCGCUCUCUCUCAUGUCCGAUGAUGAGCGGUUGGAGUACGCCAUGCGGCUCUCGGCGCUGUUGUCGGAGUGAUCUGCUCUCGGCGUUGCUCUCUCUCGCCUAUGUCCUUUUCGAGUCUCUCUUGUGAUGCGCUUCAUCUACAGCACGAUCGCCCUCUGAGGUGCGCCGUGUGCCUAUGCUGUUCAUCGUGCCUUGCGGCUGCGUCGUGGCCAUCUCGGUCUUUCUUCGUGAACGAAGCUGAAGCGGAUGCCAGCGGCAGCGUUUGCUGUGCUCGUUGUGGGCUGUAGUGACUCGUCUCGUUCCCCACGGUACUGUCGUUCUCAGCUUCAUGCGGCGCACAGAGUAUGCGGAGUGGGCGACGUGCGUGCGUCUGAAUGCACGCUGCGAGGUGCACGAAAAAGAACUCCCUCUGCGUGGGUGUGCGCGUGAACGAGGCUGGCCGCCGUCCAAAACGCAUGCGAGUUUUGGUGUUGUUCUGUGCACGUGAGCGUGCGAUAGGUGUUUCCAUGUCUCUUCUGCGCCUUCCAUUGCCGUUGCCAUGGAGUUUUCAGCACAGACCAAAGCCAUUUUUUUGUUCGGCUCCUCUCCUCCGUAGGUUUCUCUUUUGAGACGCUCCCCACACAGACGCGCACGCGAGCUCGUGUGUCGGUCGGCACAUCUGCUUCAACGCGAUUUGUCUUCCUGCUCGCUGUGGCCACUUUCCGUGAGCGGCCCGUUGUUUCUCCGGCUUCACCGUCACUUGCUCUUACAUGUCUUCUUAUUGCAUUUUUCUUUAUGUGUGUGGGCUGCUGUUGUUCUCAUCCGUUCCGUGCGCCCCUGCAUCGCCUUGCCCAUCGCCAUUUGGAUCUCUCUCUUUUUGGCUGUUUGAAACUCUCGGUCCUGUGAUCGUUGCGAUUUCCAUGUGUUCUGUUCGCCGUACGGCCGCAUACGAGUUUCCUUUUUUUUUCUGCGACGCUCCUCAUAUCUCUAUUGAUAGCAUUCUGUGCCCUCUCCUCCGGCCAAGUAUAGAUAUGUAUGUAUUCCCCCCCCCCAUUUGGAGCUCUGUGCGUCGGGGCGCAGCUGGGGCCUUGAGACGCGUUGCCCAGCAUCUUUUUUUUUUUGCAGUACCACUUUGCCCUCUAAACGGAUUCUCUGGUGCGAAGAAGGAACGCCUCGUUAUGUAAACGUGCCCCCCACUCCCCUCCCCAACACCGCAUUUGGCGCGGCUUUCACUGGGGCUCUGCUCCUCAAUGCGCCUCGGUUGUAGGAAGCCGCCAGCUGUAGGAUCGAGGGCGAGUCGACUCAGCGAAGCGAGCUGUGGAUCAGGACACUCAAAAACGCUGAAGAAACAAUGACAACCCCAAUCAAAAAAAAAAGGAACAUUGCCAUCAUAAGCUUUCUGUUUUUUUUUGUUUGUGUGUCUUUUUUCUCUGCUGCUGCGGUUCGUCGAUCAGUUUGCGUGAGCGUCCGUUUUUCCAUCAGCACCACUCCUUUUAUUUGAGUGUGGGAGCGACAUCGCUGCUGCGCGCGGACCCCCCACCCCCCUUGUCACCUCCUUUUUGCCCUUUCUCCGUUGUAGCAGCCCUUUCUCCCGGAGACAGUGGCCAAUUCUCCCUAAGCCACUUCCUUGUGAUACGGUUUGUCGCCACUUUUGAUGUACGAACUUGGAAAACAAGGAGAUGACGCCAAUCAACCAAGGGGCUGAAGGCACGCUCUUUCGAGACGGAUAUUUGAUGGACGAAACUCAAGUGCCUUUUUCGUUUUAGCUUCUCUUUUAUCCUGCCCAUCUCUGCACGGGGAUCUCUCCGCUUUUGGGGGAUUCCUGCAGCGGCGGGUGCCUGGAAGCGACAGGAUGGAGGUUUAAAUGGUGUGCCGCCUGCUACACCGCUAGAAUGCCCCCCUCACACACACACACACACAGACAUACACCAGAGCCUCCGGCUUCACCUGUGUUUGCUGUGAGGGCGUCGGGCCCGACGUUGUGCCCGAGAUGACACGUGAGGUUGACGGAUAGCUCAAGGCUCAAAAAAACACACCUCGCUCCGCUCCAUCGUCUUGCGCGCAAUGACUCCAUUCCACGCACAUCUCACUCGCGCUGAAUAGGCUUCCUCCCGUACUGCGUGUGCCUACGGCUGCCCCCCCCCCCCCCCGAUGCCCCCUUCAGAAGAAAACGCUGUGAGCUCUGUAUGCAUAGGCACCUGUCUCUGCGCUGGCCCCUUCCGCUUGCCACACACCCACGCCUCUCAG
This 5947-nucleotide unclassified non-coding RNA is filed under the name Leishmania donovani. Its description in RNAcentral is "gene:LdHU3.36.6390(CDS-product:elongation_factor-2_kinase-like_protein)". The record is from RNAcentral. Lineage: Eukaryota; Euglenozoa; Kinetoplastea; Trypanosomatida; Trypanosomatidae.